CAGUCGCCGCGGUAAUACGUAGGGUGCAAGCGUUAAUCGGAAUUACUGGGCGUAAAGCGUGCGCAGGCGGUUUUGUAAGUCUGUCGUGAAAUCCCCGGGCUCAACCUGGGAAUGGCGAUGGAGACUGCAAGGCUAGAAUCUGGCAGAGGGGGGUAGAAUUCCACGUGUAGCAGUGAAAUGCGUAGAUAUGUGGAGGAACACCGAUGGCGAAGGCAGCCCCCUGGGCUAAGAUUGACGCUCAUGCACGAAAGCGUGGGGAGCAAACAGGAUUAGAUACCCCCGUAGUUCCUGUCUCUUAUAC
RNAcentral lists this ribosomal RNA (301 nucleotides) under uncultured bacterium. RNAcentral describes it as "partial 16S ribosomal RNA". It matches the Rfam family "Bacterial small subunit ribosomal RNA", at positions 509 to 807 of the family's 1533-position model. The record is from RNAcentral.